CUAUUAAACAAAACCAAACCCUUACUACUUCACCCCACUUCCUAGGUUUUAUAUAUCCCUCUUCCCUCACCCUUUUUCUUUGCUUCUUCAUCUGCUUCUCUUGUUCUCUCUCUCUCCCCCCUCCCUCUCUAGCUCUUUCUUUCUCUCUCGAGAGAUGAAAAAAUAGCUAGGUCUUCUAUGGUGUGAUCUUCCAUGGUUGGAAAUAAAAAUGGGAGAUUGAGGUUGAUGGGAAUGUUGUUUGGCUCGAGGUCACUUAUUGAGUAGUUGUAUACCCUUUAUAAUGAGAUCUCGGACCAGGCUUCAUUCCCGUCGACUUGAUCUCUCUCGUUCUCUCUUUUUCAUUUUCGAUCUCUCUUCUGAAGACGAAGAGAGAUCCAAUCUCCCUUGAGGAUGAUGCAUCAUGAUUAGGGCAAUUUUUUUUUAUUUCUUAUUUACAAGUUAGAGAAAUUUGGGUUUUAAAAAUUUGAACUACUAACAUUAUAAAUAAGAUCAGUUUACAUUGGGAAUAAUAUAGACAUAGACAUAAUUAAUUAAUUGCAUGGAAGAAACAUGAAACAUUUAUCUAACAUUAUUCCAGCGAGUUAAGAUCGAUCGAUCACAAAAGAUAGAUGUUGUUUUGACGUUGAUGACCAUGCUGUCACUGUGUUUUCAGUCUAGUAUAUUAUGUAUAUGGCUGAAUAAAAAAUUGUUUUACUUCCAUUAUUGGUUAUUAUUAUAUGAUGAUUGCCUAGUGAUUAUUUAUUUAUCUAGUGUAUGUGAAACAUUAUUAUUUUUUAAUUAUUUUAAAUAAGGUAAAAACAAAGAUGUACUUCAACUUUAUGUAAAGUUGAUAAUUAAGAGCGUUAGAUGAUAAAUCAUUUAAUAAUUUUUCAGUCAUCAACUUCAUGAAAUCAACGGCACAUGAGUUUCAACCUUUAAAUAAUAAUGUGUGUGGAGAUUAGAGAAACCCAAUGCAAGGGAAUUUGAAAUUCUGUAAAUAUUUGUCAGGCUAGAAUCUUUAGGGUUUCAGUUCCAUGCCUGCUUUUAUUUCCUUGCUUUCAAGUUUCAGCCUACCCUCAUUAUUUCUGGUGGUGCUGUUGCUUUUUUCAUGGGGAAUGCCUGGAUCCAGUUUUAUUUUGGCUACAUGCUUGGGUUCCAACUUCCAAGACACAAGAUUAGUUUUAGGGAUUUAGAACAAAGUGAUGGAUAGCACACAUAUUUUUUUUCUCCCUUUCUUCUGUUUAUUAUUAAUAGUUAUUAUAUUACCCCUUAACUAUUUUUCUUGUUUCUUCAAAUUUGAAAUUUUGUGUAUAAUGUAGCAGUCAUGGAUAUGGAGAUGUGGAUCACUUUGGCUUUUAAAUAAACCUGUAAAUUAACAUGAGGAACUAAUUUUUAUUGCACCUAAUUUUUA
Arachis ipaensis is the source of this 1390-nucleotide non-coding RNA. NCBI's taxonomy places the organism in Eukaryota, Viridiplantae, Streptophyta, Magnoliopsida, Fabales, Fabaceae. The record is from RefSeq and is a predicted model, not a curated record.